UCUGCUUUUGUUGCUUUUUCUUUGUCUGUGCAUUUUGUUCAGUUCUUUGUUCAACAUGCCAAUAACCUGAACAACCCAAUUAAAAACUCUUCAUCUGGUAACACAGAUUUAUUUUAUCUACAUAGAGUUGACAAGGCAACAUUUAAUAAAAGAUCACUCAUACUCCAGUGUACCACAGGAUUAACUUUGUCAGAAAUCAAGUGAGUAUAUUAUUUUCUUUUUGGACUCCAUAUUUUGUUCCAUUGAUUUGUCCAUUGGUAAGGCCAUACCACACUACAUUAGUUACAACAGCUUUACCAUCAGUCUGGAUAUUUGGUAUUGUAAGUCUUCCAGCUUUGCUUUUUUCUUCAAAUAUUCUCUUGGCUAUUUCUGAGCCUUUCAUUUACUUAUAUAUUUCAGAAUCAGUUUGUCAGUUUCCAGCAGGACAAAACUGCUGGGAUUCUGAUUGGCGCUGCGUUGUUUAUAGAUCAAUUUGUGGAGAAUUAAUAUUUUUACUCGUAAUCUUCCAAUACAUUAACAUGUUGUAUCCCAACAUUUAUUUGUCUUCUUUGAUUUCUGUCAAUAUUCUGUAAUUUUAACUAUUUAUAUCUCAUAUUUUAAAUUUAUUCUUGGCACUUAAGAAUUUAUUUGAUAAAUGUUAUAAUUUAAAAUUUAAUUUCCUAUUUAUUUAUUGCUGAUAUAUGUAUUUGAUUUUUUUUCAGAGACAGUGGGUCUUGCUGUGUUGCCCAGGCUGGACUUGAACUCCCGGGCUCAAGCAAUUCUCCUGCCUCAGCCUCCUGAGUAGCUGGGACUGUGGAUGCAUGUCACCAUGCCUGGCUUAUAUUUAAUAUUUUAUAUUGACCUUUGUUUAGCCACAUUGCUAAAUUCACUAUUUAAUUUUAAUAGGUUUUGUGUAGACUUAGAUUUUCCAUAUAUGCAAUCAUGACAUUUGUGAAUAAUGAAGAGUUUCAUUUCUUUUCCAGUCCCACGCCUUAAUUUUUUUUCUUACCUUAUUGUGCUAGGUGGAACUUCAAGUACAUUUAUGUAUGUAACUAUUAAUUUUAUUGAGGUAUCAAUAAAACUACAAUAAAUUAGGUACAAUUUGAUAAGUUUUGACAUACACACUUGAAAAACCAUUACCACAGUAAAAACAAACAAGCAAAAAAACUAAACAUGUCUAUCACCUCCUACUUUUUUCUCUAUAAUCCGUCUCACCUGCCCCAAGCCCCAUAUACCAUUGGUAUGCUUUGUUACUUAGAUUAGUUUGGAUUUUCUAAAACUUUAUGUAAAUAGAAUAAUACAUUAUGUAUUAUUUGUUGUCUGGAUUCUGUCACUCAGCAUAAUUAUUUUGAAUUUCACGUUUUUGCAUACAUCAGUAGUUCAUUUUCAUAUUACUGAGUGGUGUUAUAUUGCAUACAAAUAUUACAAUUUGUUUAUCCAUUCACUUGCUGAUGGAUAUUUGGGUUGUUUCCAGUUUUAGCUAUUUCAAAUAAAAAUAAUGAGAACAUUUAUUUACAAGUCUUCAUAUGGAUGUAUGCCUUAUUUUUUCUUAAGUAAAUACCUAGAAGUGGCUAAAUCAUCUGAUAGGUGUAUUUUUAGCAUAAGAAAUUGUCAAACUGUUUUCCGAAGUGGCUUACCAUUUCACAUUCCCACCAGCAGUGUGUAAGAGUUCCAUUUCUUGACCAGGCACAGUGGCUCACGCCUGUAAUCCCAACAACUUAGGGAGGCCAAGGCAGGCAGAUCAUUUGAGGUCAGGAGUUCGAGACCAGCCUAGCCAAUAUAGUGAAACCCUGUCUCUACUAGAAAUACAAAAUUUAGCCGGGUGUGGUGGCAGAUGCCUGUGGUCCCAGCUACUCGGGAGGCUGAGGCAGGAGAAUCACUUGAACCUGGGAGGCAGAGGCUGCAGUGAGCCAAGAUCUCACCACUGCACUCCAGCCUGGGUGACAGAGCAAGA
This 1933-nucleotide long non-coding RNA is filed under the name Homo sapiens (human). RNAcentral's name for it is "HSALNT0259819". Lineage: Eukaryota; Metazoa; Chordata; Mammalia; Primates; Hominidae. The record is from RNAcentral.